CCUACGGGAGGCAGCAGUAGGGAAUAUUGCUCAAUGGGGGAAACCCUGAAGCAGCAACGCCGCGUGGAUGAUGAAGGUUUUCGGAUCGUAAACUCCUUUUGUUAGAGAAGAUAAUGACGGUAUCUAACGAAUAAGCAUCGGCUAACUCCGUGCCAGCAGCCGCGGUAAUACGGAGGGUGCAAGCGUUACUCGGAAUCACUGGGCGUAAAGAGAGCGUAGGCGGGGUAGCAAGGCAGAUGUGAAAUCCUAUGGCUUAACCAUAGAACUGCAUUUGAGACUGUUAUUCUAGAGUAUGGGAGAGGUGGGUGGAAUUCUUGGUGUAGGGGUAAAAUCCGUAGAGAUCAAGAGGAAUACUCAUUGCGAAGGCGACCUGCUAGAACAUAACUGACGCUGAUGCGCGAAAGCGUGGGGAGCAAACAGGAUUAGAUACCCCAGUAGUC
RNAcentral lists this ribosomal RNA (440 nucleotides) under uncultured bacterium. RNAcentral describes it as "partial 16S ribosomal RNA". It matches the Rfam family "Bacterial small subunit ribosomal RNA", at positions 338 to 795 of the family's 1533-position model. The record is from RNAcentral.